UCAGUCCCACUCAGGACACAGCAUGGACAUGAGGGUCCCUGCUCAGCUCCUGGGGCUCCUGCUGCUCUGGUUCCCAGGUGCCAGAUGUAACAUCCAGAUGACCCAGUCUCCAUCUGCCAUGUCUGCAUCUGUAGGAGACAGAGUCACCAUCACUUGUCGGGCGAGGCAGGGCAUUAGCAAUUAUUUAGCCUGGUUUCAGCAGAAACCAGGGAAACCCCUAAGUCCCUGAUCUAUGCUGCAUCCAGUUUGCAAAGUGGGGUCCCAUCAAGGUUCAGCGGCAGUGGAUCUGGGACAGAUUUCACUCUCACCAUCAGCAGCCUGCAGCCUGAAGAUUUUGCAACUUAUUACUGCCAACAGUAUAAUAGUUACCCUCCCAC
This 377-nucleotide long non-coding RNA is filed under the name Homo sapiens (human). RNAcentral describes it as "HSALNT0304203". Lineage: Eukaryota; Metazoa; Chordata; Mammalia; Primates; Hominidae. The record is from RNAcentral.